ACGGAAGGCAGCAGUGAGGAAUAUUGGUCAAUGGAGGCAACUCUGAACCAGCCAUCUCGCGUGAAGGAAUACGGCCCUACGGGUCUUAAACUUCUUUUAUAGGGGGAUAAAGUGAGGCAUGCAUGCCUUUUUGUAGGUACCCUAUGAAUAAGCAUCGGCUAACUCCGUGCCAGCAGCCGCGGUAAUACGGAGGAUGCGAGCGUUAUCCGGAUUUAUUGGGUUUAAAGGGUGCGCAGGCGGCACGUUAAGUCAGCGGUGAAAUGUCGGGGCUCAACCCGGGCACUGCCGUUGAAACUGGCGAGCUCGAGUACGGAUGAAGUUGGCGGAAUGUGUAGUGUAGCGGUGAAAUGCAUAGAUAUUACUCAGAACACCGAUUGCGAAGGCAUCUCACGAAUCCGUCAUUGACGCUGAGGCACGAAAGCGUGGGGAUCAAACAGGAUUAGAUACCCUGGUA
RNAcentral lists this ribosomal RNA (454 nucleotides) under uncultured Parabacteroides sp. Its description in RNAcentral is "partial 16S ribosomal RNA". It matches the Rfam family "Bacterial small subunit ribosomal RNA", at positions 341 to 792 of the family's 1533-position model. The record is from RNAcentral. Lineage: Bacteria; Pseudomonadati; Bacteroidota; Bacteroidia; Bacteroidales; Tannerellaceae.